AUUGAACGCUGGCGGCAGGCCUAACACAUGCAAGUCGAACGAGUGGCGGACGGGUGAGUAAUGUCUGGGAAUCUGCCCGAUGGAGGGGGAUAACUACUGGAAACUGUAGCUAAUACCGCAUACCAUCGGAUGUGCCCAGAUGGGGUUAGCUAGUAGGUGGGGUAACGGCUCACCUAGGCGACGAUCCCUAGCUGGUCUGUGAGGAUGAACAGCCACACUGGAACUGAGGCACGGUCCAGAAUCCUACGGGAGGCAGCAGGGGGGAAUAUUGCACAAUGGGGGCAAGCCUGAUGCAUCCAUGGCGCGUGUAGGAAGAAUGCCUUCGGGUUGUAAAGUACUUUCAGCGAGGAGGCGUUACUCGCAGAAGAAGCACCGGCUAACUCCGGGCCAGCAGCCGGGGUAAUAC
This 406-nucleotide ribosomal RNA is filed under the name uncultured bacterium. RNAcentral describes it as "partial 16S ribosomal RNA". It matches the Rfam family "Bacterial small subunit ribosomal RNA", at positions 30 to 526 of the family's 1533-position model. The record is from RNAcentral.